CCUACGGGUGGCAGCAGUGAGGAAUAUUGGUCAAUGGCCGGAAGGCUGAACCAGCCAAGUCGCGUGAGGGAAUAAGGCCCUAUGGGUCGUAAACCUCUUUUGUCAGGGAGCAAAGGCGUCCACGUGUGGACGAGUGGAGAGUACCUGCAGAAAAAGCAUCGGCUAACUCCGUGCCAGCAGCCGCGGUAAUACGGAGGAUGCGAGCGUUAGCCGGAUUUAUUGGGUUUAAAGGGUGCGUAGGCGGAGUGUCCAGUCAGCGGUAAAAUUUGGGGGCUAAACCCCGACGUGCCGUUGAGACUGACGGCCUUGAGUGCGUGAGAAGUAGGCGGAAUGCGUGGUGUAGCGGUGAAAUGCAUAGAUAUCACGCAGAACGCCGAUUGCGAAGGCAGCUUACCGGGGCUCAACUGACGCUGAGGCACGAAAGUGCGGGUAUCGAACAGGAUUAGAUACCCCUGUAGUC
Molecule: ribosomal RNA, 460 nt
Filed under: uncultured bacterium
Lineage: Bacteria
Description: partial 16S ribosomal RNA
Rfam family: Bacterial small subunit ribosomal RNA
Source: RNAcentral